CAAAGGCUUGGUCCUGGCCUUACUAUCAGCUUUGGUUAAACUUACACAUGCAAGUAUCCGCACUCCUGUGAGGACGCCCUAACAGUUUUCCUAGCCAGAAAACAAGGAGCUGGUAUCAGGCACAAGCUAUCUUAGCCCAUGACACCCUGCUUCGCCACCCCUUCAAAGGAAUUCAGCAGUGAUAAAUAUUAAGCAAUAAGUGAAAGCUUGACUUAGUCACAAGCAUAUUAUAAGGGCCGGUAAAACUCGUGCCAGCUACCGCGGUUAGACGAGAGGCUCAAGUUGAUAGUCCAACGGCGUAAAGCGUGGUUAAGAUAAGUAUAAAACUAAAGUCGAACAAUUUCAUAGCUGUUAUACGCUCAUGAAGACAUGAAGUCCACUAACGAAAGUUACUUUAAAUGAUCUGACCCCACGAAAGCUGUGAUACAAACUGGGAUUAGAUACCCCACUAUGCACAGUCGUAAACUUAGGUACUAUUUUACUUUGUACCCGCCCGGACACUACGAGCAAAAGCUUAAAACCCAAAGGACUUGGCGGUGCUUUAGACCCGCCUAGAGGAGCCUGUCCUAGAACCGAUAGUCCCCGUUAAACCUCACCCAUUCUUGUCAUUUUCCGCCUAUAUACCGCCGUCGUCAGCUUACCCUGUGAAGGUCACUAACGUAGACAAAAUUGGCCUAGCCCAAAACGUCAGGUCGAGGUGUAGCGAAUGAAUGGGGAAGAGAUGGGCUACAUUUCCUGACCUCAGGAAAUUACGGAAUAUGCCAUGAAAAAUGCAUAUGAAGGAGGAUUUAGCAGUAAGUAGAAAAUAGCGUGUUCUGCUGAAGCUGGCCCUGAAGUGCGCACAUACCGCCCGUCACUCUCCCCAAGCCCACCUACCACAUUAAUUAAAAACUAAUCAUUGCUAUAGGGGAGGCAAGUCGUAACAUGGUAAGUGUACCGGAAGGUGCACUUGGACAAAU
RNAcentral lists this non-coding RNA (959 nucleotides) under Callopanchax monroviae. RNAcentral describes it as "12S ribosomal RNA". It matches the Rfam family "Bacterial small subunit ribosomal RNA". The record is from RNAcentral. Lineage: Eukaryota; Metazoa; Chordata; Actinopteri; Cyprinodontiformes; Nothobranchiidae.